Molecule: long non-coding RNA, 343 nt
Filed under: Brassica rapa (field mustard)
Lineage: Eukaryota; Viridiplantae; Streptophyta; Magnoliopsida; Brassicales; Brassicaceae
Description: long non-coding RNA (BRAP_LNC002877)
Source: RNAcentral
AAGUCUAAAGAUAAAGAACAGAGAACAAGAAGACAACAGAGUUCUUGUAGAAGCAAAACAAUGAUAGAAAUUCCAUUACUUGCCACACAAGUCAAUAUUCUUCUCAAACGGUCUGAAAUUCAAAGCGGUAAAUCCAUAGACACAAAGAUUAGACAUCUUGGAGUCAAACACGACCUGAUCCGUUGUAGUUUUGUAGCCAGGAACGUUGCAGGACUCCGAGGAGCUACUGAUCAAGCUUGCCUGACAAGAAGCCAUUAGAGAAUCUUUGUCGUCUUCUGCUGCGCAAGAAACGCCUUCCACAGAUGUUAUGUCUAGCUUGUAGAGUCCAAGCUCGUCCGUAGUU